GACGAACGCUGGCGGCGUGCUUAACACAUGCAAGUCGAACGGGUCUGCCCUGUUUUUUGCGGGGUGGGUCAGUGGCGAACGGGUGAGUAACACGUGAGUAACCUGCCCCUCACUUCUGGAUAACCGCUUGAAAGGGUGGCUAAUACGGGGUGUUCUGGCUGUGCCGCAUGGUGUGGCUGGGAAAGAUUCACUUUUGUGGUGUUUUGGUGGGGGAUGGGCUCGCGGCCUAUCAGCUUGUUGGUGGGGUGAUGGCCUGCCAAGGCUUUGACGGGUAGCCGGCCUGAGAGGGUGGGCGGUCACACUGGGACUGGGAUACGGCCCAGACUCCUGCGGGAGGCAGCAGUGGGGGGUAUUGCACAAUGGGCGGAAGCCUGAUGCAGCGACGUCGCGUGAGGGAUGGAGGCCUUCGGGUUGUGAACCUCUUUCGCCGGUGAAGAAGGUCCUGCUCUUUGGGGGGGGGUUGACGGUAGCCGGGUUAUGAAGCGCCGGCUAACUACGUG
RNAcentral lists this ribosomal RNA (500 nucleotides) under uncultured bacterium. Its description in RNAcentral is "partial 16S ribosomal RNA". It matches the Rfam family "Bacterial small subunit ribosomal RNA", at positions 28 to 507 of the family's 1533-position model. The record is from RNAcentral.